UUACUAGAGCAUGUGCUUCACUUUUUUUUUUUAAUCUAGCAGCAAUUUGCAAGGAGUGUGUGUUUUAUUUAUAUUAUUGGCUAAUUUAUUUAUUUGAAACAUGGCCUUUAAGAUGUUCUCACACUAAUCAACCGCUAGUAGCUAGAUAGUCCGCGUUUAAACAACGUUUGGCGCAUAAGAUGCAGGAAAUAGCUAGCUAACCAGUUAGCCAGCUAACAUAGCUAGCUAAUAGCGUCCCUACACAGAAUAGUUACCAGCCGUCCUGCGCUCAGGUUGUUCACUUUAGGACUAGCCCAAGUUCAUCUUAUUUAGUUAGCUAUGGACUCAAUGCCUUUAAUACGAGGUGUUUUAUUGCGAAAUGACGACACGCCUUAUCAAAACCUUAACCGAGAAUUCGCAACGAGAAUUUAUUAUCCGAGCCCUGAGUCACCGUCUCCUCAUGUACCCGACAUCACAGAGACCAGCGCUGGUCUGGAGUGGUUUGAAAUGGGCCUAGUGACCUCAUCUGGUCCCGCCAGGAGCACAACAGACCAGGGAGUACCGCGGUCUCCUUAUGUCACUGGAUCAGUCAGCACCCAAAGCUCUCCACUCAGCACUCAAACUGUCCCUGUUAUCAGAAAGAGGAGGGUUUAUGCACUAGCCCAGCCAGUGAGAAGCGAAUCUGAAGAGGACCUAUCUAGUAAAGAAGGGAUAUCGGAGAGGGGGAGCAGAAAAGGGAAAGACAGCAGACCCAUCCUGGGAGAUCUGUUUGAUUAACACACUGACUGAUUUGUAACUGCCGCUGACUUUUUAAUGUUUGAUUAUUUCCAAUGUAAUGCUGGUGAAGUCAUUUACAAUUCCUUACAGAUUACCUAGUUUGAUCCCCUCCUGUUUGUAAUCUUUUUCAUCAGUUUUGCAAUGUGUCAUUGUUCUAAUAAAAUAUAAUCAAAAAGGUUGAAAUAGUAGAACAUUUAAAAUUCCCAGAGUGAAAUAGUAGUAUAGUGACAACCACUAAAUGUCACUGUUGUGUUAUUUCCUGUCUACCACUUUCCUCUCUGAUACUGCUGGGCGUGUGAGUGAGAGGUUAUCCUGUGAUCUUGUACUUCACUGAGAAAAUGAAACAUGCACUAGUAGGUAAUCUUUAAUGGGUGUGAUCGUGUCUAAGAGGGCAUUGGGUCACCCCCUACUUCUUCUGAUCCUUCCAUGACAUAGAAAGAUGUGAAUAGACAAACACUGAAGUUUUUGUCUGAAGUGGAUGUGAAUUCAACAGAAUUGGGAAUGUCUAGGACAGAGAAGGGUAAUGACAUUGUCAGACUAGCCAUCCCCAAAUGAGUGGUCAAAUGGGGCAAUUCAUUUUUCCACAGACUGGCAGAUGGGCCAGGUACUCUAGGAACUCAUGGGUUUGCUAAACAACAGCUUUAUGUAGAACUUUGAUUUGUAUAUUCAAUCUGCUUUGAAACAUAAUGAGUAUGUGUCUCUACGUACAGUGGAAAAAUACCCAAUAUAUGAACAAAUAUAUAUUAAGAAGAUGAAUUAGGGAACCCUUUCAAGAGAAUGCAGGCCUUAAGCCUUUGUGUUGGGAAAGAGAAAUUGUUGGAUUAUUGAAUUCAAUGAGACUCUUCUACCCUUGAGUGGGUGACCUACUCAUCCUCAGGGCCUAUGCAUGAUGGGUCCACUAUCCCACACAUAUGGUGGAGAAUUGCCACACUCACCUACAAAAUGGAUUAGGGAGCAUAUUAACAUCAUCUGGAGUCUUAUCAGGGGUUAAAUUGGGAUAGUCUGUCUCCAAAUUUUGUUUUUUCUAAAAUUGUCACUAUAUAUUCUGUUUUGCUAUACCCCCCCUACCCCACACACACAGACUUUAACCUCCCCAGAACCCCCUCUCAUCCCCACCACCACACACAUUAGCCAUGGGAUUGAUGUUGGAGGGUGGGUCACCUAAUCCCUGUUAGGGUGAAGGCACAAAGCGCAUGUUGGUGCAGGAGGGGCCAAAUGCUUACAUCACAUCUGUCUCACUCUGACACAUUUGAUCGUCCUUUAUAGAUCAUCCCUGCCCUUCUACAUGACUUAGCUUGCUGACCGCACAUUGUGGUUCACCAAUCAAUACCUGAAUCGUAAAAUAGCAAGAGUGAGGGUGAGUGGUUGGGGCUGGGACCAGGGUUAGGGUUAGGGUGAGAGUAUGGUUGGU
Long non-coding RNA from Oncorhynchus masou masou (cherry salmon), 2167 nucleotides. RefSeq lists it as uncharacterized. The transcript has 3 exons. The record is from RefSeq and is a predicted model, not a curated record. Lineage: Eukaryota; Metazoa; Chordata; Actinopteri; Salmoniformes; Salmonidae.